Molecule: long non-coding RNA, 1239 nt
Organism: Chionomys nivalis (European snow vole)
Lineage: Eukaryota; Metazoa; Chordata; Mammalia; Rodentia; Cricetidae
Exons: 7
Source: RefSeq, a predicted model, not a curated record
GAGAGAGAGAGAGAGAGAGCGUUGAUGCAGAGUUAAGGAGGCAGAGCUGCACACCUUGCCCGGCCAAAGCUGCAGGAAGCUCCUGUACCCUCAGCCCUGUCGGUACCAGGUAGAGGUCAGAGGAGAACAAAAGGGAAAAAGAGAAAAGCCCCGCGGACCCUGACAAGGGUGUAUGGCUGGAAGACCCCAUAUCCACGGUGAGAAGUGUCCCCCAGCCCUGAACUGGCCAAUAUGGGGAAGCGUGAUCACUUACAUCUUCCCAGGAGGAACAUGUGAGAAGCUUGCUCCUACCAAGACCACCUCCCAGGUGGUGAGGGUUUCUCACAACCAACGCCACCAGGAAGCUUGUUGUGUAACUGAGGAUGACCUUGAAUUUGUGACCUUCCUGUCUCCACCUCUGGAGUGCAAGGAUUAAAGGGACUCCUCACCUUGAUGACUGCAUCCUCAAACCAUGAGCCAACAGAAGCCAUUCCUUCCUUAAAUUACUUCUUUCCAGUCCUGCAGGUUCCUCAAGACCCUCCCACUUCUGUGACCCUGCCCCCUGGCUGUUCUGGUGUGCACCAGAGAGUACCAAAAUGGAGAGGGAGAGCCUCCCCCUCACCUGGGGAAGAAGACGUGUCAGCAUCCUCAAGACUCAGGGAGCCAACGGAGUGUCAAACCCUUGCAGCUCACACGUGCUCCUGAAUGGACGGGGUCCACCCAAUGGCGAGUGAUUUCACCUGGACAGAGUCAUCGCUGUGUGCAGAGCCCAUGCUUGGGGCAGAAUGAGCCCUGCUGAGCCACCUGGUUCCUUCUGGGAAAAUUCCAGGGGUAAAAUUCCAGAGACCUAGUCCCUGACACCCCUCCCUUCCCUGGGCUCCACAGAGAGACCUUGCAGCCCAGAGAAUUUCCUAGGCAGACUGCAGGUCUUCUGGGCUGCCUUUUUUAGCAUGUCUUUGGUGGCCCCAUGGCUGGGCCAUUGGCCUGGCGGGGAGUUUGUCACUGGCUCCUGGGAAAGUUUAGUGAUAACACUCUGGAGUUCCAGUCCCUCGCCUGGCCUCCAAAGGGAGCCUCCAAGUUUGAGCCCCUGGGCUCGUUAUCUCUAGCUUCCCACUGCUGGGUUAGAGGGCUUCUCCUAGGGUCUCCCUUACAGAGGGGUUGAUGGUCCCCAGAACCAGGAGUGGCCUCAUUCUCCAGGGACUGUCCUCCACGGAGUGUUGAUCCAACAGGCUCUCCACCACAAUUAGCCCUUCCCUCAUC